Molecule: long non-coding RNA, 589 nt
Filed under: Sorghum bicolor (sorghum)
Lineage: Eukaryota; Viridiplantae; Streptophyta; Magnoliopsida; Poales; Poaceae
Description: long non-coding RNA (SBIC_LNC011698)
Source: RNAcentral
CUGCUUGCGAUGUUUCCCGUUGGCCACUAAAUGAAAGAACCGAGUGUUAGCAUCCCCUUCCAGUAGGGUUUUAACAUUGGCUCUCUGGUACCAUUUCAGUUCCUCCUCUCUCAGAAGGUUGACCAAACGCUCUUUUAGAUAAUGCUUCAGAUUGAUCUCUUGAUCAGAUAAAGGAGAGAUCUCAGCUUUCUUAUCAAUUUUCUCUAAAAGGGCUAACAAAGUGUUUUUUUUUUUCUUUGCGAUAUGACCCUGCUGUGUGUUUCGCCCAACCCCUUAGAUACUGACGGAGUCUACGAAUUUUAAACUGCCACCGUUCAAGGGGAGUUGACCCAGAGCAUGGAGAUUGCCAAAUAUUUGCAACCAUAUCAUAAAAUUCAUCUCUUAUCAACCAUCCUUUCUCAAAUUUGAAAGGGCGAUUGUGGGUCUGGUGGGUUGAAGCACCCGUAUUAAGAACCAGGGGAGUAUGGUCUGAAAUAUUACCAUCCCUUAGUUCUAUUGUGGUUAGAGGAAACAUUAUUUCCCACUCUGUGCUAACUAGGACUCUAUCUAACUUUUCAAAAGUUGGAUUAUCCCCUAGACCAGUCCAUGU